RNAcentral lists this transfer RNA (65 nucleotides) under Klebsiella aerogenes. RNAcentral describes it as "tRNA-Ala". The stretch from base 5 to 62 matches the Rfam family "tRNA", at positions 8 to 63 of the family's 71-position model. Rfam says of the family: Transfer RNA (tRNA) molecules are approximately 80 nucleotides in length. Their secondary structure includes four short double-helical elements and three loops (D, anti-codon, and T loops). Further hydrogen bonds mediate the characteristic L-shaped molecular structure. tRNAs have two regions of fundamental functional importance: the anti-codon, which is responsible for specific mRNA codon recognition, and the 3' end, to which the tRNAs corresponding amino acid is attached (by aminoacyl-tRNA synthetases). tRNAs cope with the degeneracy of the genetic code in two manners: having more than one tRNA (with a specific anti-codon) for a particular amino acid; and 'wobble' base-pairing, i.e. permitting non-standard base-pairing at the 3rd anti-codon position. Lineage: Bacteria; Pseudomonadati; Pseudomonadota; Gammaproteobacteria; Enterobacterales; Enterobacteriaceae. The record is from RNAcentral. RNAcentral also lists the same sequence under 1 other name.
GCUAUAGCUCAGCUGGGAGAGCGCUUGCAUGGCAUGCAAGAGGUCAGCGGUUCGAUCCCGUCAUC